AACCGCAAGGAACCAGCUGCCGAAGGUGGGGUCAGUAAUUGGGGUGAAGUCGUAACAAGGUAGCCGUAUCGGAAGGUGCGGCUGGAUCACCUCCUUU
Molecule: ribosomal RNA, 97 nt
Filed under: Acetobacterium sp.
Lineage: Bacteria; Bacillati; Bacillota; Clostridia; Eubacteriales; Eubacteriaceae
Description: partial 16S ribosomal RNA
Rfam family: Bacterial small subunit ribosomal RNA
Source: RNAcentral